GAUGAACGCUGGCGGCGUGCCUAAUACAUGCAAGUCGAGCGAACAGACGAGGAGCUUGCUCCUCUGACGUUAGCGGCGGACGGGUGAGUAACACGUGGAUAACCUACCUAUAAGACUGGGAUAACUUCGGGAAACCGGAGCUAAUACCGGAUAAUAUAUUGAACCGCAUGGUUCAAUAGUGAAAGACGGUUUUGCUGUCACUUAUAGAUGGAUCCGCGCCGCAUUAGCUAGUUGGUAAGGUAACGGCUUACCAAGGCAACGAUGCGUAGCCGACCUGAGAGGGAGCGCGCCCACUGGAACUGUGACACAGGGCCCAGACCCCCAGGGGGGGCAGGAGGGGGAAAUCUCGCAAUAGGGGCGAACCCGUCGCAGCACAGCGGCGCGUGAGAGAAAAGUGUCGGGGGAUUGAAAAACUGUGUUAUGGGAAAAAAAAAAAUGUGUGUAACACUGCGCGCGUCGACGGGGCCCCAAAAGAGAGACCCGGCUAAAUACGUG
This 495-nucleotide ribosomal RNA is filed under the name uncultured bacterium. RNAcentral's name for it is "partial 16S ribosomal RNA". It matches the Rfam family "Bacterial small subunit ribosomal RNA", at positions 28 to 507 of the family's 1533-position model. The record is from RNAcentral.